This 74-nucleotide transfer RNA is filed under the name Phycisphaerae bacterium. RNAcentral's name for it is "tRNA-Arg". It matches the Rfam family "tRNA". From Rfam's summary of the family: Transfer RNA (tRNA) molecules are approximately 80 nucleotides in length. Lineage: Bacteria; Pseudomonadati; Planctomycetota; Phycisphaerae. The record is from RNAcentral. RNAcentral also lists the same sequence under 1 other name.
GCGCUCGUAGCUCAGUUGGAUAGAGCGGCGGUUUCCUAAACCGCAGGUCGCGCGUUCGAGUCGCGCCGGGCGCA